UGUCAAGACAUGCCCCUCGCGACUUACCAGUACCAAGCGCUCAAAGAGGCCCUCGCCGCUUCCAUCUCCACCGCCGGCGACGUGCGCCGCCCCCACGCCCUCGCCGUAGUGUCGGGUCUCGCCGGCAACGGCUACGUCGUCUCCCUCCUCGUAUCCCGCUACUUCCGCCUCGGCGCCGCCAAUGCCGCGCGCAGGGCGUUCGACGCUGUUCCCCUUCGCCGGGCAGCAUCGCUCCCCGUCUCGGCGCCGCCGCCUAAGCCCCUCCUCUACAACGCCAUGAUCCGCGGGUACCUCGCUCUCGGCCUCCCCCGCCUGGCGGUCGAUGUCUUCCGAGAGAUGGCGUGCCCGCCCGACCGCCACACGUACCACCUCGCCGUGACGGCGUGCGCUCGCGCGUCGGAGUUUGAGCUCGGUCGGCGUAUCGGGAGCGAAGCAUGCUCCAGAGGACUUUCAACCGACCUCCUGGUCGGGACGGCGCUGGUCGUAAUGCAUUCUGAAGCAGGUGACAUGGAGGCUGCUCUCACGGUGUUUGAUGAAAUGCCGCACCGCGAUGACGUGGUGUGGAAUGCCCUCAUUGCUGGCUAUGCCCGUGCGAAUUGCAUGGGAGAGGCUCUCAGGUUAUUCGUAAGGAUGAGGAUGGUGGAUGGAGUGUCUCCGACUGAGGCAACAUUGGUGAGCUUGGUUUCCGGGUUUGCAAGCUAUGGUUCUUGGAAGGUCUGCUAUAUGAUUCAUGCUGUUGUGAUUAGGUCUGGUUUCCACCUUAACGUCUGUGUUUGCAACGCUCUCCUGGAGCUUUAUCUUUACUCCGGCUGUUUGAGGGAGGCUGUCAUGUUGUUUCGUCAGAUGGAGGUGAAAGAUUCCAUCACUUGGAGUACGAUUAUUGGUGGGCUUGUUCGGAAUGGACGACCGAAUUCUGCUCUUAACCUUUUCCACUGGAUGCUGUCAAAUUCGACUGUGUCGGCCACUAGGUCCAUCUUGCUUAAUGUCAUUGCGGCCUGCGCUGAGCUGGGGGAGUGGGAACAAGGAAGAUGGAUUGAACAAAGCUAUGUGCUGGCUGAUUCUAGUGAAUUCAAUAGAGAUCCAUCUUUGGUAACUGCACUGAUAUAUAUGUAUGCAAGGUGUGGACAGUUAGAUUCUUCAAUUGCUCUUCUACAUGGAGUUGCAGCAAUGAGAGAUGACAUAGUUGCAUGGAAUGCCAUGAUCAAAGGCUGUGGAGUUCUCGGGCAUGUGGGAAAGGCAAUAGGAUUUGCAGUGGAAAUGCAGAGGGUAGGCAUUGAUCCAGAUGCUGUCACAUUCUUGGAGAUCCUACCUAUGAUUUCUUCGAUACCAUCACUGAAGAAGGGGAUGGAAGCACAUGGUCAGAUCGUUAAAAGAGGUUUCCAGAAUGAAAGGACAAUUGCUAAUUCACUCAUUACCAUGUAUGGUCGAUGUGGGGAUCUUAGACAUUCAUUUGACACCUUUAGUGGGAUUGUGGACAAGGAUGUAAUCUCUUGGACUUCUAUGAUUCAGGUAUACGCCUGGAAUGGACAUGCUGUUGAAGUUGUCGAGCUUUUUGAGCUGAUGAAGAAAACAGAAGUGAAACCGAACCGCUACACCUUUCUUGCUGUGCUGUCUGCAUGUAAGAACACAGGUCUUGUUGAAGAGGGAAUGGACUUGCUCAAGUUCAUGGAAGAGCAAUAUGGUCUUGAGCCGGAUGUUGAGCAUAUUUCAUGUGUUGUUGAUAUGCUCUGUCGUACUGGACGCUUGACUGAUGCAUAUGCAUAUGACCUGAUAAAAAGUACUAUUUCUGAACGUGUAGACAAUCAUAUAUUAUGGGGGAUAUUGCUAAGUGCUUCCCGUUCAUCUGGGGAUUUGGUGAUUGGAGAAGCAGCUGCCAGACAUCUCUUGUCUCUGGAUCCAGAAAAUCGAGCCAACUAUAAAAUGCUUGCUGAUAUUUAUGUCUCGCUUGGGAGAAGGGAUAGUGCUGAUAAUAUCCUUAGACUAUCAUUGUCAAGAGGGCUAGACUCGAAACCAGGCUGCAGCUGGACUGAAGGUGGCUAAAUGUUGCAAGUGCAUGCUAGAUGGAAAAUAAGUGUCAGGGAAAGAGAGAAUGUGUGGCACAUUCAGUGAGGGAUCAGGAACUGUUCUGAGUAGUAUCAGUUUCAACGCCAAUAGAAUUAUCAAAGCAAGCCACAGAAAUAACUCAGCAGCCAAAACAUGAAUCAGGAUGUGGAAACCCCUUUUCCUUUUUCUCGGACCAAGAACAACUUCUGUGGAGAUAUGCCCCACAAUCUAGCAAGGAUAGCCUCUCGUGGAUCAGAGCAAAGGAAGCUUACUGGGUGACAUGUACACAGAAACUCCGAGUGAAUCUUGCAUAAACUUCUGGGAUGGGAUCUUGCAAAGGUUCGUGCACAUACCGACACAGUUGGUGCUUUCCAGAAACCUGUCACCGAGUAAGAUAACAAAUUAAGUAAGAUAAGUACCACUUACGUCAAGAUUUGUUGGUAUGUCUGCACUCUGCACCUUAGUAAAUAUUUUCCUUAUGUUGGUGUUAAUUGGGAUAGUGUCUCAAACAUGGGUAGUACUGGUAUGUUGCAUUUGCCUCUUACUUUUCAUUUCUUCUUAUUUUCAGAAGGUAUUUUUCGCCUAUUCUCAUAGGCAGUUUGUGGAGUGUGAGUAGGAACAUCAGUCUGCCACAAUUGCGACAUGGACAGUACAAGUGGCAUGUCAGCCUUAGUACUUUCUUGCCUUUUCUUUCAAGUGGAUUUACUUAUAAGAUGGACAUACUGCAAUAAAUUCAUUCAAUCAAUGGGUGCAGAAUCAUGCACUGUUUAUUUCAAAAUAAGUUAAUUGUUUUUGCACCUAUGAAUGCUCAGAGCAACCGUUUGGACCAAUAUAUUUGGGACACCUUAUAUUCAACCUAGUUAAACUCAUUCCACAAUUUGUUUUCUUGCAUUUAGUUUCCUUAGCAUUAGCUACUCAGCGGAAAAGUUCCUCGGUUAUGAUUGAAUUACCUGCAUUUGGGGAUGUACACCACAUUCUUCUCUCUCGUUCCAUCGACUUCAGAUUCCCUGACCUUGUUCAAUGACAUAAUAAUGAUCACUCAGAAAACUUAUCCAAAGUGGGGAGUGUAUUCCAUGUGGGACUGCAUUAAAGAAAUAUUAAUAUAUGUACUAUAAAUGUCUUGUAUAUUGCUACAUCCAAGCCACAUCCUACCACUUUUGCAAUAUUUAUCAACUUGGCAUGUGGCUUUAUAUCGGUUCAUUUUGGGCAGGGCUCACCAGAAGCACUAGCAUGGAGUCUUUCUUUGAAUGAUGCCCUCCUUGAGGGCAGGCUACUUAUUUUAUGAAGUGAAAUAUUGCAUAUUUAUUGCAUGGAGCAAGAACAUGUCAAGGAGAGAAAAUCUGUUGAUAUAGUACCUCACAUGGUCCAACCAGCCAAGGGAAGAAUAUGGUGGUGAAGGCAGCAAAGUACUCCCUGGAAAAUCUUGAAGGCGGCAUCAUCACCUUUAUCUGCCCAAACAGAAUUCUGUCAAACCAAAAUCCAGGAACUCACAUGGGUAAAACCACAUGAAGGAUAGAGGAUCAUUCCAAAGCUGGCAAAUAUGUAUACGAUCAAGCACGAACCGGAAGCUUCUUGAAGUUUCCUGGAGAGGUAGCCAAUGGCCAGGUUGUCGAACCAGGUGUCGUGGUACACCGUCGUCGUCGUCGUGGCCGCGGCCGUCUCCCUCACCGGCCUUGUUGGCGCCGGUGCCGGGACCCGAGCUAGCGUCGCUUCUUGUGGCCUCGCCAUGACCCCUCGCACCGUGGAGCUCCGCUUGAUCCUCCUCACGUAGCUCUUCUUCGUCACGCAGGAGACACCUCUUCCGCCCACGCAUGGGGGUGCUCUGGCCGUGAGGCCGCUGUGGCUGUGAGGGAGGAGCACAAGUGCGGUGGCCUCCAUGUUUAUGGCCUGUCUAGCUAUGAGUGUGUGUGUGAGAGAGAGGGAGGGGUAUAUUUGUAGAGUGGGAGAAGAGGAAGAGUCGAAGGAGUAUUUGUAGGAUGUUAAUUCCUAAGCUUAUGAUUUGACUCGUAUGGAGGGAGACGAGGAGGAAAAGCCCAAACGGCAGGGAGGGGGGCAUCUUGGUGUGGUGGGACGAUGGAAUCAAGGCUAACAUCAUGUUCCACGAGUCGAGAUCCUCACCUCGGAAUGGACAAGAGCGAGCUGUGUCAGUUUCUAAUGGGCUUUGCCUAUUGAUGCUCCCUCCUUUAGUCAGUUGGACCAGGCGAAAAGAUCCAUGGACAUGAGUUUUUUUUUUUGAGAUGCCGUAGACAUGAGAAUUGAUAACACUUUCCCGGGCACCCGCUCGUUUCCACGGCGACAUAUGUCUGCACUUCCGUGUAUGCUGGUGUUUAAAUUGUUGCACCAACUUGGACCCCGGACCGACCAAUUCUAACAUUUCGUAUAUGCAUUUUUUUUUGCAAAA
Triticum aestivum (bread wheat) is the source of this 4444-nucleotide RNA transcript. It is a transcript of the gene named pentatricopeptide repeat-containing protein At4g13650, with no coding region annotated. The record is from RefSeq and is a predicted model, not a curated record. The transcript has 5 exons. Lineage: Eukaryota; Viridiplantae; Streptophyta; Magnoliopsida; Poales; Poaceae.